GCGCCGGUGGGCGGCGGCUGUGCCGUGUGCUGUCUCAGCGCCGGGGGGACGGCGUCAGGCCCGACCGGAUCGUGUCCAGCACGGCGGCC
Molecule: transfer RNA, 89 nt
Filed under: Paractinoplanes abujensis
Lineage: Bacteria; Bacillati; Actinomycetota; Actinomycetes; Micromonosporales; Micromonosporaceae
Description: Actinoplanes abujensis tRNA-Asp
Source: RNAcentral